AUGUUGUGUGCGCUAUCCAGGCGCGGUGGGCAACGCAGUGGCUGCAGCCGCCACCAUCUUCUGUGCGCUGACAGCCGUCGAGCAGAGUAUGCAUCCUCCCACUCCCUGCGCUCAUGCUUAGCUGGUCUUCUGACCAUCCCCACUUUACCCCUCAGCACCAUGGGUGCUAGGGCUUUUAGCUGCAAUGCUCCCAGGUUAUGGAACUCGCUGCCUCCAGCCCUCCACACAUUUGACAGUCUGACACCAUCACAAUGUUCAAAACUCACCUGCUCAAACUGGCCUACUCACUCUACCCACCCUCUAUGUCCGAUUACCUCUAGCCCCAUACACUAUGUUUCCUGAUUUGUGAUUGUCUGUGGUGGUGUCGUUUCAUGUUUCACUGUUUUUAAGAAUAUUUUGGGGGCUUUUAUGUCGGGUUUUUAGGUCGGAUUUGAACCCAGGCCGCUGUCAAGGAUUCAGCCUACAUGUGGCGCACACUCUACUGGGUGAGCUAGAGGUUGCCCCAUGUUUCACUGUUUUUACCUGUGCGUUACCUGUAUGGUUACUGUUUUUAAUUCCCUGUAAGGCGACAAAAAUAAAAUGUAUUAUUAUAAUUUAGAGUAUGGCACCUCUCCAAUGGCUCAAAUGGUGCUAAACAUCAAUCUAAAUUUUGGAGGCCAAAUUAAAAGCCAGACUGUAUGUUGCUACCAGACAUCUGUGUAUUUACUUUCCUCAAUUUGUGGCACAUAUGCCUCUAAAGGCUCUAAAAUGUGAGGCUUAACCCAAAAAGUGAUU
Long non-coding RNA from Sander lucioperca (pikeperch), 774 nucleotides. RefSeq lists it as uncharacterized. The record is from RefSeq and is a predicted model, not a curated record. Lineage: Eukaryota; Metazoa; Chordata; Actinopteri; Perciformes; Percidae. The transcript is spliced from 2 exons.